GACAGAGGCCCCGAGCGUUAGGCGGAAUCACUGGGCUUAAAGCGUGUGUAGGCGGAUCGUUAAGUGUCUUGUGAAAUCCCACGGCUCACCCGUGGAACCGCUGGGCAUACUGGCGAUCUCGGGCCAUUCAGGGGCGACUGGAACAAGCGGUGGAGCGGUGAAAUGCGUAGAUAUCGCUUGGAACGCCGAAGGUGAAAACAGGUCGCUGGGGAUGUGCCGACGCUGAGACACGAAAGCCAGGGGAGCAAACGGG
Molecule: ribosomal RNA, 253 nt
Filed under: uncultured bacterium
Lineage: Bacteria
Description: partial 16S ribosomal RNA
Rfam family: Bacterial small subunit ribosomal RNA
Source: RNAcentral